GACGAACGCUGGCGGCGUGCCUAAUACAUGCAAGUCGAACGAACCGCGACUAAGUGCUUGCACUCAGUAAAGGUGAGUGGCGAACGGGUGAGUAACACGUGGGUAACCUACCUCAUAGUGGGGGAUAACAGUCGGAAACGACUGCUAAUACCGCAUAGGACAUAGGAUCACAUGAUCCAGUGAGGAAAGGUGGCGCAAGCUAUCGCUAAGAGAUGGACCCGCGGUGCAUUAGCCAGUUGGUAGGGUAAAGGCCUACCAAGGCGAAGAUGCAUAGCCGACCUGAGAGGGUGAUCGACCACCUUGGGACUGAGGCACAGCCCAAACUCCGGCGGGAGGCAGCAGUAGGGAAUCUUCGGCAAUGGACGGAAGUCUAGCGGAACAACGCCGCGUGAGUGAAGAAGGUCUUCGGGUCGUAAAGAUCUGUUGUGGGAGAAGAACAGCGCAUAGAGUAGCUGCUAUGCGUGUGACGGUAUCUAAACAGAAAGCCACGGCUAACUACGUG
Molecule: ribosomal RNA, 502 nt
Filed under: uncultured bacterium
Lineage: Bacteria
Description: partial 16S ribosomal RNA
Rfam family: Bacterial small subunit ribosomal RNA
Source: RNAcentral